This is a long non-coding RNA of Aegilops tauschii subsp. strangulata, 3037 nucleotides long. RefSeq lists it as uncharacterized. The record is from RefSeq and is a predicted model, not a curated record. Lineage: Eukaryota; Viridiplantae; Streptophyta; Magnoliopsida; Poales; Poaceae.
UAUAUAACAUCAAUUUAGUAUCUGGAAUACAUUGGUAUUCAACAGAAAAUGGUACAAAAAUAUAUGUACCAGAUUUAACGGUCUAAAACAGGAAUAAAAUCACUGCUAGAAUUAACCGUAAAAUCACAAUUAAUACAAGUUUUGGCCUAUUCAAAAAUAGGUAAAGCCGCAAGGGCUAGGGUGCAAAACUUGCGAAGAGAUAAGAUUCUAUCUCUUUCACAGGAGUAGUUCCCGUGAUUGGGAUUUUCUCCCGUAAAGAGCGCCAUAGCCAUACUAGCUUGUGCACCACCGCCUUGGCUCGCCGGCUGGGCUGCGCUAGGAACGCCGGGAUGGGCGUGUUGGUGGAGCACGCGGGGCAGGUGCCACAGCCUGGAGCGGGAGUGGGCUGGCGGAGCCGGCCACGCCUCGCUCGGGCCGCGGAGGCCGGGACGCGGCGCAGAGGCCGGUGAGCGGCGCGGGGGGCAGGCGGCAGGACGAGGCGGAGCAUGCACGGCCGUGCUCGGCCGCGGAGGCCGGGACGCGGCGCAGAGGCUGGUGAGCGGCGCGGGGGCCGGGCGGCAAGGCGCUGGGUGGCCACGAGCACGGCGCGGGCGCAAGUCCGGCGGCGCGGACAGGCUCGGCGCGGACGCGGCCAGGAACGGCUACGGCCUGAUGCGGCCGGCGACGACGGCGCGAGGGCUGCAUCGCGCGCUUCGGUCGUCGAGGACGCCGACUCCCGUUGCUUUCUCUCGGCCAAAUGGCUCUUGGCUAGGAGCGUGCUGAUAACGUAUCUCUAUUAUUAAAAACACAGUUCAGCCCUUUCCUCCCCUCGCGCACCACACCGACCCAAAAACAGGGCAGAACCCACGUCCUUCACCUUUUCCCGACCCAAUCUCCAUCUCAAGAACCAGACCUCUCUCCCAAUCCAGAACUACCUAUUGGCGCCCCUCCCUGGCUCCCUCCCGUGAGUCCGCGACCACCCACGGCGGCCCAUCUCUCCCGCAGCAACCACCGCACCGGCCACCCAUCCAUCUCCUCCUCCUCUCACUCGCGCCGUAGCACCAUGCGCCGACAAAGGGGGGCCAGCCGCCGCCACCCCAGAACAUUGUGUAUGAGCAGAGGCAUGGCACCGCCGCCUCCCUAGGUCGCGACCUGUAGCGGUUAGGCUACCCCGGCGCAGCCGCCGGCUGUCCCAGCGAGGAGGACGCUUUGAAUAUGGGACCUGCAGUAUUGGAUAGAGGAAAGUUACAUCCACAGUUGGUCCGCGAGCAUGGCGAGCCUACAGCGAUGAUGAAAUAAUGCAUUGGCCCAUUGCCUGAUGAAGAAGAUGAGAGAAGUGAAGAUUAUGUACGAUGAAAUAUUACAGAUCAUGUACAUGUAACCCUGUUCAUUUCGAUGGUAUUUUAGUUCUUGUGAUUUGGCGAUUUUAACUCAUAUAUUAGACCAAUGAUGACAAUUUCUUUUUGUUCAUAUAGAACAUGGGAAACACUUCCCUUAAAUAUAGUUUAUCCAUAUAUCGCCUUACUUUUCAAUAGUUAUAAGAUAUGUCACAUUGGUUGUUUCCUUCGUUUUGAGCAAACAUUAGUUCAAAAUGAUUAAUCUAGACACUGGUUAACAUAAUUUGGGCUUGGCACCUUAGCAUAUAUCCAAGGUCCAAACUCGGAUGCUACACAAGGAUUUCUGUAUGCGGAGGCUAGCUUCAGCAGAAAAAUUAUAUUGAUGAUGACGAUGAUGAGCUGGAGAAGGUGAGUGGUGGUGGCCACCUCCUCCCUCCUAAGCACUAUCACUCAUUGAUGUCUAUGUACAGGGCGACCUUGUUGCUACAUCAUCGCUGGCCACACCCACCUCGAUCUGUGUCUUCACUGACCUCCCUACCUACAACGUUUCUUCUCAUCACGCGAGUACUAUUUUCGGCUCGGAUUGUGAGAAUAUGAUUAUAUCGUAAUUGAACUAUAGUGCCUCUGUAUAUGUUAUUUGAAAUUCCAGUUUAAUCAAUUCUGGUAGUUCAUUGCCGCGAUUUGCACAUUUAAUCUUUAUUACUGCAGUUUCUUUCGAUAAACUGGUUCAUAUCUUAUAGUCUAAAAAACUGGUUCAUAUCAUUAUCGGUACUGACUCAGCGAAAAGUUUUCAUGAUCUGAUAUGGAUCUCAAUUCUGAUUGUGAAAAGUAUUCUAGCUCUGAUAUGGAUCCAUGUUCUGAUUUUGUGUGAAAAGUUUUCUUUCGUAACUUUUCUCUUUACUACUGAAAUGGAUAUUUUGCUCUGUUUUGAUGACCCCUAGCGAUGCACAGCUCUGUUUUCAUGACUCCGCCACCAGGGAGCUCUUGGUUGCACUGCAAUCAGCGAGGCCUUGUCAACCCGCUGAUGCCACUUAACCUCUAUGUCCUCUCAUUUCUCAAGAUGGAUAGUUUUGUGCAGUUGCAGGCCAAACCUGUGAAAUCCGAGGCUUAUCACAGGAUGGUGAUCAUGGUCUAUAAGCUUUUGAGAUGUUGUCUUGGCUCCUCCUUUACAAACAACAUUUAUGAUGAUAUGCCUCUAAGGGUUGUAGUUAAGAGUUGAUGAGUGUUGUUUUCCAUGCUAUUCUUUGUCCCUUGUGCUGGUAGUUGAGAGGAGGGAGAGGGAGAGAGAGAUGGAGGGACAUCAAAGAGGAGUGUGUAACCACAUAGGAAGACACGGUUAUGUUGCAGCCAGUAGAGACGUGGUUUUGUGUGCAAGUCGACGCAAACCUGCUGUUGUGAUGGUUGGGGAGCCAAGGUAGCAGCAAGCAGUGCCUUUACGCUGGAUCAUGCAGUCUGGUUGUGGGUUGCCAGAGCCCAUGGACCUGUCUUCCCCAUGGGUGUGGGCGAGUCACACACAACACCGGGUGUUUACUUUCCUUCAGUGAAUUGAAAGCAAGAAAAGAAAAACAUGAGGAAUGUUUGUUUGUCCAUGUUGCCCGAUCCUGAUCAUGUUAGUUUGUGAAGAAAAACAAAACACCAUGUCACUGUAAUGCUUUAAAUAUUUUAUCUUUUAGUUGUUUAUUUUAGAACAAACCUUAAUUCAGCAGGGUGUUUGAAGGUGA